Molecule: ribosomal RNA, 426 nt
Filed under: uncultured prokaryote
Description: bacterial SSU rRNA
Rfam family: Bacterial small subunit ribosomal RNA
Source: RNAcentral
UGGGGAAUUUUCCGCAAUGGGCGAAAGCCUGACGGAGCAAUACCGCGUGAGGGAGGAAGGCUUUUGGGUUGUAAACCUCUUUUCUUAGGGAAGAAGAUCUGACGGUACCUAAGGAAUCAGCAUCGGCUAACUCCGUGCCAGCAGCCGCGGUAAUACGGAGGAUGCAAGCGUUAUCCGGAAUUAUUGGGCGUAAAGCGUCCGCAGGUGGCUCUUCAAGUCUGCUGUCAAAGACAGAAGCUCAACUUCUGGCAGGCGGUGGAAACUGGGGAGCUAGAGUACGGUAGGGGUAGAGGGAAUUUCCAGUGUAGCGGUGAAAUGCGUAGAGAUUGGAAAGAACACCAGUGGCGAAGGCGCUCUACUGGACCGAAACUGACACUCAGGGACGAAAGCUAGGGGAGCGAAAGGGAUUAGAUACCCCCGUAGUCC